CCUACGGGCGGCAGCAGUGAGGAAUAUUGGUCAAUGGACGAGAGUCUGAACCAGCCAAGUAGCGUGAAGGAUGACUGCCCUAUGGGUUGUAAACUUCUUUUAUAUGGGAAUAAAAUGUUCCACGUGUGGGAUUUUGUAUGUACCAUAUGAAUAAGGAUCGGCUAACUCCGUGCCAGCAGCCGCGGUAAUACGGAGGAACCGAGCGUUAUCCGGAUUUAUUGGGGUUAAAGGGGGCGGAGGGGGGAUGUUAAGUCAGGUGUGAAAGUUUGCGGCUCAACCGUAAAAUUGCAGUUGAAACUGGCAGUCUUGAGUACACUAGAGGUAUGCGGAAUUCGUGGUGUAGCGGUGAAAUGCUUAGAUGUCACGAAGAACUCCGAUUGCGAAGGCAGUACACUGGACUCCAACUGACACUGAGGCUCGAAAGUGUGGGUAUCGAACAGGAUUAGAUACCCGGGUAGUC
RNAcentral lists this ribosomal RNA (460 nucleotides) under uncultured bacterium. RNAcentral describes it as "partial 16S ribosomal RNA". It matches the Rfam family "Bacterial small subunit ribosomal RNA", at positions 338 to 795 of the family's 1533-position model. The record is from RNAcentral.